AUGGACAUGAGAAAUCUACAACCACACACAAUGCACAAUACAACUACACGAAACAAUAAGGAUGAAUCUCACAAACAGAAUGUUGAAGGCGGCGUCUCCCCAUCUUCCUGGCACACCCCUCCAUGCCCUCCAUCACCACUGAGACCUACGGGAGGGACACCUGUUAUCGAGGAUGCCACCAGAUUAUGUGCAGGACCGACACACACCCACGCUCACCCUUGCUCACACAUGCUGCAGUUGUAUGCCUGGAAAAAGACAAAGAAGGCAAAACGGUGCUGCUGGCUAAGAUGAGGCUUCACUUCCUCAGAUUCUGCAGGUUUGUGUAAUGAACUGGAAAUCAACACACUCCAAAUAUCAAGGAACCAUUAGAACCUUGUUUAAACUGGGGGACACUCAUUUGUGUCAAGGAAAUCCAGAGGACAGGAGAGCCUGGCAACGAAUUCAUUCAUCCAUCCAUUGACCCAUUCAUUCAUCCAUCCUUUGACCCAUUCAUUCAUUCAUCCAUUUACCCAUCAUGCAUUCAUUCAACUGACAAGUCCCAGAUAGUGUGGUGUUUGGAGAUGGUAAAAGACAUUUUCUGCCUCCAUCCUCCACCCUCCGCCUUUCACAUGCAAUCCAAGGAAUGAAGUAGAUAUACCUAGAAAUAAUUUUAACCAUAUGAGAAAUUCUAGUGUCAAGAGACAAUCCAAAUAAUAAUAUCUGUGCCUGAUAACAGGCACAGAAGAAGAAGCACAUCGCUGCCUGUAGACCACCAGGAAGCCUUUUGAAGAGGGUGGUAUCUGAUUUGAGUCUUAAGGAGGAAAGAGGCGUUUGUCAAUUUGGGUCUAAAUUAACUUGACUGUCUUUUGUCCCUUUUUCUCUGAUUGGCACACCAGUUGUCAAGAGCAAGAGCUGUGUGUCCAGUUUCUUUAUAUACCAAGCGUCUGGCUCAGUGCCUGGUUCACAGUAACCACCUGCCAUAUUUUAGUUGAAUAAAGGAACAAAUCUAUAAACGACUAGUACUGGG
This 1006-nucleotide long non-coding RNA is filed under the name Bos indicus x Bos taurus (hybrid cattle). RNAcentral's name for it is "lncRNA (ENSBIXG00005004934.1)". The record is from RNAcentral. Lineage: Eukaryota; Metazoa; Chordata; Mammalia; Artiodactyla; Bovidae.